Molecule: ribosomal RNA, 530 nt
Filed under: Chattonella subsalsa
Lineage: Eukaryota; Raphidophyceae; Chattonellales; Chattonellaceae
Description: eukaryotic LSU rRNA
Rfam family: 5.8S ribosomal RNA (bases 157-311)
Source: RNAcentral
UCGUGAACUUGUUUCCGGGCUUCGGCCCGUUGACAUCCUUUACACCCAUCCAACCCAAACCUCAAAACCAAAAAUUUUGACCCAACCAACCCAUUCGACUGAACCGUAACGGCCGCUUCCCUCGGGAGGCAGCCGACGAUUUAUAUCAAAUCAUACGACUUUCAGCGGCGGAUGUCUUGGUUCCCACAACGAUGAAGAACGCAGCGAAAUGCGAUACGUAAUGCGAAUUGCAGAGUCCAGCGAGUCAUCAAAUGUUCGAACGCACCUGGCACUUCCGGGAUAUUCCUGGGAGUAUGCUUGUUGGAGUGUCUGUUGGACCAUCUCCCUCGUUCCCACUGGGCAACGAGUGGCGGAGGUUGCCGUACAUUUUGCUCCCUGAGCGGGAUGAUCGGUUAAGCACUCGAGAUAACAACCGUUGGAUUCCGACGGGCGUGGUAGCGCUGGGCUUCGGCCAAGCACACAUCCUCCCCGGCAGAAACCUCGGUUGAUCUGACAGAGGAACUGGGUGGCUUCUGCCGCCUCACUGUUCA